RNAcentral lists this ribosomal RNA (213 nucleotides) under uncultured bacterium. Its description in RNAcentral is "partial 16S ribosomal RNA". It matches the Rfam family "Bacterial small subunit ribosomal RNA", at positions 524 to 730 of the family's 1533-position model. The record is from RNAcentral.
UACGUAGGCAGCAAGCGUUUGUUCGGAGUUACUGGGCGUAAAGGGUGCGUAGGCGGUCCUGUAAGUAUGGUGUGAAAUCUCCCGGCUUAACUGGGAGGGUGCGCUAUAGACUGCGGGACUAGAGGGGUGGGAGAGGAAAGUGGGAAUUCCUGGUGUAGCGGUGAAAUGCGUAGAUAUCAGGAGGAACACCGGUGGGUGUAAAACUGGCUUUUC